GAUGAACGCUGGCGGCGUGCCUAAUACAUGCAAGUCGAGCGAACGGACGAGAAGCUUGCUUCUCUGAUGUUAGCGGCGGACGGGUGAGUAACACGUGGAUAACCUACCUAUAAGACUGGGAUAACUUCGGGAAACCGGAGCUAAUACCGGAUAAUAUUUUGAACCACAUGGUUCAAAAGUGAAAGACGGUCUUGCUGUCACUUAUAGAUGGAUCCGCGCUGCAUUAGCUAGUUGGUAAGGUAACGGCUUACCAAGGCAACGAUGCAUAGCCGACCUGAGAGGGUGAUCGGCCACACUGGAACUGAGGCACGGUCCAGACUCCUACGGGAGGCAGCAGUAGGGAAUCUUCCGCAAUGGGCGAAAGCCUGACGGAGCAACGCCGCGUGAGUGAUGAAGGUCUUCGGAUCGUAAAACUCUGUUAUUAGGGAAGAACAUAUGUGUAAGUAACUGUGCACAUCUUGACGGUACCUAAUCAGAAAGCCACGGCUAACUACGUG
This 497-nucleotide ribosomal RNA is filed under the name uncultured bacterium. Its description in RNAcentral is "partial 16S ribosomal RNA". It matches the Rfam family "Bacterial small subunit ribosomal RNA", at positions 28 to 507 of the family's 1533-position model. The record is from RNAcentral.